Molecule: ribosomal RNA, 253 nt
Filed under: uncultured bacterium
Lineage: Bacteria
Description: partial 16S ribosomal RNA
Rfam family: Bacterial small subunit ribosomal RNA
Source: RNAcentral
UACGUAGGGUGCAAGCGUUGUCCGGAAUUAUUGGGCGUAAAGGGCUCGUAGGCGGUCCAUCACGUCGGGAGUGAAAAGCUGGGGCUUAACCCCAGUCCUGCUUCCGAUACGGGUGGACUAGAGGUAGGUAGGGGAGAACGGAAUUCCUGGUGUAGCGGUGAAAUGCGCAGAUAUCAGGAGGAACACCGGUGGCGAAGGCGGAGCUCUGGGCCAUUACUGACGCUGAGGAGCGAAAGCGUGGGGAGCGAACAGG